RNAcentral lists this ribosomal RNA (551 nucleotides) under Shigella boydii. Its description in RNAcentral is "bacterial SSU rRNA". It matches the Rfam family "Bacterial small subunit ribosomal RNA", at positions 108 to 655 of the family's 1533-position model. The record is from RNAcentral. Lineage: Bacteria; Pseudomonadati; Pseudomonadota; Gammaproteobacteria; Enterobacterales; Enterobacteriaceae.
GAGUAAUGUCUGGGAAACUGCCUGAUAGAGGGGGAUAACUACUGGAAACGGUAGCUAAUACCGCAUAACGUCGCAAGACCAAAGAGGGGGACCUUCGGGCCUCUUGCCAUCGGAUGUGCCCAGAUGGGAUUAGCUAGUAGGUGGGGUAACGGCUCACCUAGGCGACGAUCCCUAGCUGGUCUGAGAGGAUGACCAGCCACACUGGAACUGAGACACGGUCCAGACUCCUACGGGAGGCAGCAGUGGGGAAUAUUGCACAAUGGGCGCAAGCCUGAUGCAGCCAUGCCGCGUGUAUGAAGAAGGCCUUCGGGUUGUAAAGUACUUUCAGCGGGGAGGAAGGGAGUAAAGUUAAUACCUUUGCUCAUUGACGUUACCCGCAGAAGAAGCACCGGCUAACUCCGUGCCAGCAGCCGCGGUAAUACGGAGGGUGCAAGCGUUAAUCGGAAUUACUGGGCGUAAAGCGCACGCAGGCGGUUUGUUAAGUCAGAUGUGAAAUCCCCGGGCUCAACCUGGGAACUGCAUCUGAUACUGGCAAGCUUGAGUCUCGUAGA